ACUCCCUGGAAACAACAUAUGAUCAGUGUCCACCUCACAGUCCAGUCACUAAAAGCACUGCUUCUAAUCAUGGAAUGGAGCUGGAUACUUCCUUUUAUUCUGUCUGUAACUGCAGGUGUCUACUCACAGGUCCAACUGCAACAGUCUGGGGCUGAUCUGGCAAGACCUGGAGCUUCAGUGAAGAUGUCCUGCAAGGCUUCUGGAUACACCUUUACUGGCUACAGUAUGCACUGGGUAAAACAGAGGCCUGAAAAGAGUCUGGAAUGGAUUGGAAGUAUUCAUCCUGGAAAUGGUGGUACUAGCUACAAUCAGAAGUUCAAUGGCAAGGCCACACUGACUGCUGAGAAAUCUUCCAACACAGCCUACAUGGAACUCAGCAGCCUAAUUUCUGAUGAUUCUGCCAUCUAUUACUGUACAAGACACAGUGCUGUGACCACAUCCUGA
This is a non-coding RNA of Apodemus sylvaticus (European woodmouse), 444 nucleotides long. The record is from the annotation of a RefSeq genome assembly. Lineage: Eukaryota; Metazoa; Chordata; Mammalia; Rodentia; Muridae.